CCAGACUCCUACGGGAGGCAGCAGUGGGGGAUAUUGGACAAUGGGGGAAACCCUGAUCCAGCGACGCCGCGUGAGUGAAGAAGUAUCUCGGUAUGUAAAGCUCUAUCAGCAGGGAAGAAAGAAAUGACGGUACCUGACUAAGAAGCCCCGGCUAACUACGUGCCAGCAGCCGCGGUAAUACGUAGGGGGCAAGCGUUAUCCGGAUUUACUGGGUGUAAAGGGAGCGUAGACGGUUACGCAAGUCUGAAGUGAAAGGCGGGGGCCCAACCCCCGGACUGCUUUGGAAACUGUGAAACUGGAGUGCAGGAGAGGUAAGUGGAAUUCCUAGUGUAGCGGUGAAAUGCGUAGAUAUUAGGAGGAACACCAGUGGCGAAGGCGGCUUACUGGACUGCAACUGACGUUGAGGCUCGAAAGCGUGGGGAGCAAACAGGAUUAGAUACCCCGGUA
This 447-nucleotide ribosomal RNA is filed under the name uncultured bacterium. Its description in RNAcentral is "bacterial SSU rRNA". It matches the Rfam family "Bacterial small subunit ribosomal RNA", at positions 331 to 792 of the family's 1533-position model. The record is from RNAcentral.